UAGCAUAUCAAUAAGCGGAGGAAAAGAAACCAACAGGGAUUGCCCUAGUAACGGCGAGUGAAGCGGCAACAGCUCAAAUUUGAAAUCUGGCCUCGGCCCGAGUUGUAAUUUGCAGAGGAAGCUUUAGGCGCGGCACCUUCUGAGUCCCCUGGAACGGGGCGCCAUAGAGGGUGAGAGCCCCGUAUAGUUGGAUGCCUAGCCUGUGUAAAGCUCCUUCGACGAGUCGAGUAGUUUGGGAAUGCUGCUCAAAAUGGGAGGUAAAUUUCUUCUAAAGCUAAAUACCGGCCAGAGACCGAUAGCGCACAAGUAGAGUGAUCGAAAGAUGAAAAGCACUUUGAAAAGAGGGUUAAAUAGCACGUGAAAUUGUUGAAAGGGAAGCGCUUGUGACCAGACUUGCGCCGGGCUGAUCAUCCGGUGUUCUCACCGGUGCACUCUGCCCGGCUCAGGCCAGCAUCGGUUCUCGCGGGGGGAUAAAGGCCCAGGGAACGUAGCUCCUCCGGGAGUGUUAUAGCCCUGGGUGCAAUGCCCUCGCGGGGACCGAGGUUCGCGCAUCUGCAAGGAUGCUGGCGUAAUGGUCACCAGCGACCCGUCUUGAAACACGGACCAAGGAGUCAAGGUUUUGCGCGAGUGUUUGGGUGUAAAACCCGCACGCGUAAUGAAAGUGAACGUAGGUGAGAGCUUCGGCGCAUCAUCGACCGAUCCUGAUGUUUUCGGAUGGAUUUGAGUAGGAGCGUUAAGCCUUGGACCCGAAAGAUGGUGAACUAUGCUUGGAUAGGGUGAAGCCAGAGGAAACUCUGGUGGAGGCUCGCAGCGGUUCUGACGUGCAAAUCGAUCGUCAAAUCUGAGCAUGGGGGCGAAAGACUAAUCGAACCAUCUAGUAGCUGGUUACCGCCAAU
Molecule: ribosomal RNA, 896 nt
Filed under: Arcopilus cupreus
Lineage: Eukaryota; Fungi; Ascomycota; Sordariomycetes; Sordariales; Chaetomiaceae
Description: LSU rRNA
Rfam family: Eukaryotic large subunit ribosomal RNA
Source: RNAcentral